UACGUAGGGGGCUAGCGUUGUCCGGAUUUAUUGGGCGUAAAGAGCGUGUAGGCGGCCAGGUAGGUCCGGUGUGAAAACUCGAGGCUUAACCUCGAGAUGUCAUCGGAAACCAUCUGGCUAGAGUCCGGAAGAGGAAAGUGGAAUUCCUGGUGUAGCGGUGAAAUGCGCAGAUAUCAGGAAGAACACCAAUGGCGAAAGCAGCUUUCUGGGACGGUACUGACGCUGAGGAGCGAAAGCGUGGGGAGCGAACAGG
This 253-nucleotide ribosomal RNA is filed under the name uncultured bacterium. RNAcentral's name for it is "partial 16S ribosomal RNA". It matches the Rfam family "Bacterial small subunit ribosomal RNA", at positions 524 to 776 of the family's 1533-position model. The record is from RNAcentral.